CAUGCGCGUCUAUACAUGCAGUCGAGCGGACAGAAGGGAGCUUGCUCCCGGAUGUUAGCGGCGGACGGGUGAGUAACACGUGGGUAACCUGCCUGUAAGACUGGGAUAACUCCGGGAAACCGGAGCUAAUACCGGAUAGUUCCUUGAACCGCAUGGUUCAAGGAUGAAAGACGGUUUCGGCUGUCACUUACAGAUGGACCCGCGGCGCAUUAGCUAGUUGGUGGGGUAAUGGCUCACCAAGGCGACGAUGCGUAGCCGACCUGAGAGGGUGAUCGGCCACACUGGGACUGAGACACGGCCCAGACUCCUACGGGAGGCAGCAGUAGGGAAUCUUCCGCAAUGGACGAAAGUCUGACGGAGCAACGCCGCGUGAGUGAUGAAGGUUUUCGGAUCGUAAAGCUCUGUUGUUAGGGAAGAACAAGUGCGAGAGUAACUGCUCGCACCUUGACGGUACCUAACCAGAAAGCCACGGCUAACUACGUGCCAGCAGCCGCGGUAAUACGUAGGUGGCAAGCGUUGUCCGGAAUUAUUGGGCGUAAAGGGCUCGCAGGCGGUUUCUUAAGUCUGAUGUGAAAGCCCCCGGCUCAACCGGGGAGGGUCAUUGGAAACUGGGAAACUUGAGUGCAGAAGAGGAGAGUGGAAUUCCACGUGUAGCGGUGAAAUGCGUAGAGAUGUGGAGGAACACCAGUGGCGAAGGCGACUCUCUGGUCUGUAACUGACGCUGAGGAGCGAAAGCGUGGGGAGCGAACAGGAUUAGAUACCCUGGUAGUCCACGCCGUAAACGAUGAGUGCUAAGUGUUAGGGGGUUUCCGCCCCUUAGUGCUGCAGCUAACGCAUUAAGCACUCCGCCUGGGGAGUACGGUCGCAAGACUGAAACUCAAAGGAAUUGACGGGGGCCCGCACAAGCGGUGGAGCAUGUGGUUUAAUUCGAAGCAACGCGAAGAACCUUACCAGGUCUUGACAUCCUCUGACAACCCUAGAGAUAGGGCUUUCCCUUCGGGGACAGAGUGACAGUGGUGCAUGAUGUCGUCAGCUCGUGUCGUGAGAUGUUGGGUAAGUCCCGCAACGAGCGCAACCUUGAUCUAGUGCCAGCAUUCAGUUGGCCACUCUAGUGACUGGCAGUGACAAACGGAAGAGGUGGGAAUGAACCGUCCAAAAUCACUUCAC
RNAcentral lists this ribosomal RNA (1167 nucleotides) under Bacillus safensis. RNAcentral describes it as "bacterial SSU rRNA". It matches the Rfam family "Bacterial small subunit ribosomal RNA", at positions 43 to 1201 of the family's 1533-position model. The record is from RNAcentral. Lineage: Bacteria; Bacillati; Bacillota; Bacilli; Caryophanales; Bacillaceae.